AAGCUUGCUUCUCUGAUGUUAGCGGCGGACGGGUGAGUAACACGUGGAUAACCUACCUAUAAGACUGGGAUAACUUCGGGAAACCGGAGCUAAUACCGGAUAAUAUUUUGAACCGCAUGGUUCAAAAGUGAAAGACGGUCUUGCUGUCACUUAUAGAUGGAUCCGCGCUGCAUUAGCUAGUUGGUAAGGUAACGGCUUACCAAGGCAACGAUGCAUAGCCGACCUGAGAGGGUGAUCGGCCACACUGGAACUGAGACACGGUCCAGACUCCUACGGGAGGCAGCAGUAGGGAAUCUUCCGCAAUGGGCGAAAGCCUGACGGAGCAACGCCGCUUGAGUGAUGAAGGUCUCCGGAUCGUAGAACUCUGUUAUUAGGGAAGAACAUAUGUGUAAGUAACUGUGCACAUCUUGACGGUACCUAAUCAGAAAGCCACGGCUAACUACGUGCCAGCAGCCGCGGUUAUACGUAGGUGGCAAGCGUUAUCCGGAAUUAUUGGGCGUAAAGCGCGCGUAGGCGGUUUUUUAAGUCUUGAUGUGAAAGCCCACGGCUCAACCGUGGAGGGUCAUUGGAAACUGGAAAACCUGAGUGCAGAAGAGGAAAGUGGAAUUCCAUGUGUAGCGGUGAAAUGCGCAGAGAUAUGGAGGAACACCAGUGGCGAAGGCGACUUUCUGGUCUGUAACUGACGCUGAUGUGCGAAAGCGUGGGGAUCAAACAGGAUUAGAUAACCUGGUAGUCCACGCCGUAAACGAUGAGUGCUAAGUGUUAGGGGGUUUCCGCCCCUUAGUGCUG
RNAcentral lists this ribosomal RNA (789 nucleotides) under uncultured Staphylococcus sp. Its description in RNAcentral is "bacterial SSU rRNA". It matches the Rfam family "Bacterial small subunit ribosomal RNA", at positions 76 to 848 of the family's 1533-position model. The record is from RNAcentral. Lineage: Bacteria; Bacillati; Bacillota; Bacilli; Caryophanales; Staphylococcaceae.